Molecule: ribosomal RNA, 255 nt
Filed under: Citrobacter freundii
Lineage: Bacteria; Pseudomonadati; Pseudomonadota; Gammaproteobacteria; Enterobacterales; Enterobacteriaceae
Also listed under: 2 other names
Description: partial 16S ribosomal RNA
Rfam family: Bacterial small subunit ribosomal RNA
Source: RNAcentral
AGCAGAGAUGCUUUGGUGCCUUCGGGAACUCUGAGACAGGUGCUGCAUGGCUGUCGUCAGCUCGUGUUGUGAAAUGUUGGGUUAAGUCCCGCAACGAGCGCAACCCUUAUCCUUUGUUGCCAGCGGUCCGGCCGGGAACUCAAAGGAGACUGCCAGUGAUAAACUGGAGGAAGGUGGGGAUGACGUCAAGUCAUCAUGGCCCUUACGAGUAGGGCUACACACGUGCUACAAUGGCAUAUACAAAGAGAAGCGACC